Long non-coding RNA from Triticum dicoccoides, 569 nucleotides. RefSeq lists it as uncharacterized. The transcript is spliced from 2 exons. The record is from RefSeq and is a predicted model, not a curated record. Lineage: Eukaryota; Viridiplantae; Streptophyta; Magnoliopsida; Poales; Poaceae.
CGCAGGUUUCGGGCGUUUCCGCGAGCCUGCACCCGCCGCUGCACGCGCGCCUGCACCCACGCGAGAAAGGGAUAGGUUUCUGCUGCCGUCGCUCUCACCCGACUCGUUCACGCCGCUUUCCUCGCUCCCCUCCCUCUCCUGCGACAAUGGUGGAUCUCGCAGCCCCGCCGCCUCCGUCGACAUCGCCGGCGGGCAUCCUCGCCGCUGCGGAGAUGUCGGAGACUCGUCGCACUCGUUAGGUCAUUCACCACCUCUCCAAGCUCAACGGUGGAGUGUUCGUGCCCAAGGAUGGAGUGCCCCAGGAUGGAGCGCCCAAGGAUGGAGUGUGAGCAAAUAUGUGCUGAUUCACACCAAGCUGACCAUAUAUUAUUGUAUUUGGUCAGAAAAACCAUGCCCCUAUGUAUGUGAUGUAUGAAAUGUAACAUGGACCUUAUGUUAUGUUUCUUUGUUGGACUGUAAUAUGGACAAUACGGAUUUUUGGCUAUCUAAUAUAUGUGAACUCUAGGAUGUACUGAAUUGUAAUAUGAUCAUAUGGAUUUGUGGCUCUAUGUAUGUGAACUUUUAAGAUA